UCUUGGUUCACAUUAGAGGAAGUAAAAGUCGUAACAAGGUCUCCGUUGGUGAACCAGCGGAGGGAUCAUUACUGAGUUACCGCUCUAUAACCCUUUGUGAACAUACCUAACCGUUGCUUCGGCGGGCAGGGGAAGCCUCUCGCGGGCCUCCCCUCCCGGCGCCGGCCCCCACCACGGGGACGGGGCGCCCGCCGGAGGAAACCAAACUCUAUUUACACGACGUCUCUUCUGAGUGGCACAAGCAAAUAAUUAAAACUUUUAACAACGGAUCUCUUGGUUCUGGCAUCGAUGAAGAACGCAGCGAAAUGCGAUAAGUAAUGUGAAUUGCAGAAUUCAGUGAAUCAUCGAAUCUUUGAACGCACAUUGCGCUCGCCAGCAUUCUGGCGAGCAUGCCUGUUCGAGCGUCAUUUCAACCCUCAAGCACCGCUUGGUUUUGGGGCCCCACGGCACACGUGGGCCCUUAAAGGUAGUGGCGGACCCUCCCGGAGCCUCCUUUGCGUAGUAACUAACGUCUCGCACUGGGAUCCGGAGGGACUCUUGCCGUAAAACCCCCAAAUUUUUUACAGGUUGACCUCGGAUCAGGUAGGAAUACCCGCUGAACUUAAGCAUAUCAAUAGGCCGGGAGGAA
RNAcentral lists this ribosomal RNA (628 nucleotides) under Colletotrichum acutatum. Its description in RNAcentral is "eukaryotic LSU rRNA". The stretch from base 254 to 407 matches the Rfam family "5.8S ribosomal RNA". The record is from RNAcentral. Lineage: Eukaryota; Fungi; Ascomycota; Sordariomycetes; Glomerellales; Glomerellaceae.